UGAGGAAUAUUGGUCAAUGGACGAGAGUCUGAACCAGCCAAGUAGCGUGCAGGAUGACGGCCCUAUGGGUUGUAAACUGCUUUUGUUUGGGAAUAAUCGACAUUACGUGUAAUGUUUUGCAUGUACCAUUCGAAUAAGGACCGGCUAAUUCCGUGCCAGCAGCCGCGGUAAUACGGAAGGUCCAGGCGUUAUCCGGAUUUAUUGGGUUUAAAGGGAGUGUAGGCGGUUGGUUAAGCGUGUUGUGAAAUGUAGAUGCUCAACAUCUGACUUGCAGCGCGAACUGGCUGACUUGAGUACACAAAACGUAGGCGGAAUUCAUGGUGUAGCGGUGAAAUGCUUAGAUAUCAUGAAGAACUCCGAUUGCGAAGGCAGCUUACGGGAGUGUUACUGACGCUUAAGCUCGAAGGUGCGGGUAUCGAACAGG
Molecule: ribosomal RNA, 424 nt
Filed under: Verrucomicrobiota bacterium
Lineage: Bacteria; Pseudomonadati; Verrucomicrobiota
Description: Verrucomicrobia bacterium partial 16S ribosomal RNA
Rfam family: Bacterial small subunit ribosomal RNA
Source: RNAcentral